This 76-nucleotide transfer RNA is filed under the name Bacilli bacterium. RNAcentral describes it as "tRNA-Glu". It matches the Rfam family "tRNA". From Rfam's summary of the family: Transfer RNA (tRNA) molecules are approximately 80 nucleotides in length. Their secondary structure includes four short double-helical elements and three loops (D, anti-codon, and T loops). Further hydrogen bonds mediate the characteristic L-shaped molecular structure. tRNAs have two regions of fundamental functional importance: the anti-codon, which is responsible for specific mRNA codon recognition, and the 3' end, to which the tRNAs corresponding amino acid is attached (by aminoacyl-tRNA synthetases). tRNAs cope with the degeneracy of the genetic code in two manners: having more than one tRNA (with a specific anti-codon) for a particular amino acid; and 'wobble' base-pairing, i.e. permitting non-standard base-pairing at the 3rd anti-codon position. The record is from RNAcentral. RNAcentral also lists the same sequence under 1 other name. Lineage: Bacteria; Bacillati; Bacillota; Bacilli.
GGCUCGUUGGAGAAACGGUUAACUCACAUGCCUUUCACGCAUGCACUCGCGGGUUCGAACCCCGCACGAGUCACCA